CCUCACACUCAAUUCCCUCCACAACACCAAAAGUUAUCGAGGAAUGUCAGAGGAAGAACAAGGAGCUCACAAAGAACUCCAAGAUCAAGAUCCAAGGGGUUCCCCUCACAUAGAUGAGAAAGUAAUUGAUGGAGAUGUGGAUCAAGAUCUCCUCUCCCUUUUCCCUCAAGAAAUAGCAAGAAUCAUUGGAGGGAUUGAGAGUUAGCAAGCUCUAAGAAGGUCAAAAAUGUGGGGCAAACAAGAGCUAGAAGGAUGGGGAACCAUUGGGGAAGAAUACCCCCUUAAAUAGGUCCCCACGAAUCUGACCGUUACAGCCGUUUUAACACGGAAGUGGUUGAACCGGUUGCCAGGGCGAUUCAACCGGGCUGCCUAUUUUAACGGUACAACCGCCCAGCCACCGCCCAACAACCAGACCAAAACAGAAGGUUGGCAUGCGAUUCCACCUGCCACGACUGCUGGGCACGGCUAAGUCCCAAGCAGUCCAACCGCUAAGAACACCGGUAGUACCGGCUAUACUAAUAUAGCGGUACAACCGGGC
Molecule: long non-coding RNA, 538 nt
Filed under: Hordeum vulgare
Lineage: Eukaryota; Viridiplantae; Streptophyta; Magnoliopsida; Poales; Poaceae
Description: long non-coding RNA (HVUL_LNC019208)
Source: RNAcentral